RNAcentral lists this non-coding RNA (60 nucleotides) under unclassified sequences. Its description in RNAcentral is "pemK RNA". It matches the Rfam family "pemK RNA". The record is from RNAcentral.
AUGAUGAGACUUCCGCGUGAGCGGGUCGGUGAGAACCACGGACGGGUAGACGGCCCAUGG